This 482-nucleotide ribosomal RNA is filed under the name uncultured bacterium. Its description in RNAcentral is "partial 16S ribosomal RNA". It matches the Rfam family "Bacterial small subunit ribosomal RNA", at positions 30 to 507 of the family's 1533-position model. The record is from RNAcentral.
AUUGAACGCUGGCGGCAUGCUUUACACAUGCAAGUUGAACGGUAACAGGCCGCAAGGUGCUGACGAGUGGCGAACGGGUGAGUAAUGCAUCGGAACGUGCCCAGUCGUGGGGGAUAACUACUCGAAAGAGUAGCUAAUACCGCAUACGAUCUAUGGAUGAAAGCGGGGGACCGUAAGGCCUCGCGCGAUUGGAGCGGCCGAUGUCAGAUUAGGUAGUUGGUGGGGUAAAGGCUCACCAAGCCAACGAUCUGUAGCUGGUCUGAGAGGACGACCAGCCACACUGGGACUGAGACACGGCCCAGACUCCUACGGGAGGCAGCAGUGGGGAAUUUUGGACAAUGGGCGCAAGCCUGAUCCAGCAAUGCCGCGUGCAGGAAGAAGGCCUUCGGGUUGUAAACUGCUUUUGUACGGAACGAAACGGCUCUGGUUAAUACCCGGGGCUAAUGACGGUACCGUAAGAAUAAGCACCGGCUAACUACGUG